CAAGGAGGAAAAGAGAGUUUGUUUAAUAAAUGGUGCUGCAAGGGGAAUGAGAGUGAUUAUAGCAAAUUAAAAAGUUUUCACAUAGAAAAGGAAACUAUCAACAAAAAGAAAAGGCAGCCUACUUAAUGGGAUAAGAUAUUCACAAAUGAUAUAUCUGAUAAGAGGUUAUAAAAUCCAAAAUAUGCAAAGAACUCAUAUGACUCAACAUCAAACAAACAACCCAAUUAAAAAGUGGGCAUCGGACCUUAAAAGACUUUUUUUCAAAGGAAAACAUGGAUUGCUAACAGGCACAUGAAAAGAUGUUCAAUAUCACUAAUCCUCAGGGGAAUUCAAAUUAAAUGCUCAGUGAGCUAUCACCUCAAACCAUCAGAAUGGCUGUUAUCAAAAGGACAACAAAUAAAAAGUGUUGGUGAGGAUGUGGAGAAAAGGGAACCCUUGUGCAUGUUGGUAGGAAUAUAAAUUGGUACAAACACUAUGGAGAACAGAUGGAAGUUCCCCAAAACGUUAAAAGUAGAACUACCAUAGGAUCCAGGAAUGUUAUGUCAAUCCUUUCAAAGUCAUUAGAUCAAGAAUGACUUUAAUUGUCCACUUGGAAUACAACAGUGAAAACAUUCCAGAAACCUCAAUACAUAUUUAUUAAUAAACACCUUCAUGCUGUUUUUACUUUUUAAUGUUAUUUAUUUGUACAAAGUACAGUGUCAUUUGUACCAUCUGAGACUAGAAACAACAUUUAGUUCAAGUCAUUCAAAGCAACUCCACACAAUUAACUACCAGAGUAAGACCAUCUGUGUAUAAGCCCUGCAAGGAUUCACAGAGAGUAUAUGAGCCAGGGACUUAAGAAACAGUAAUUGACUCAGUAAGUAUAACUCUAAACUUUCCAUUGUAUGUAUAUAACACAUUUUCUUUAUCCAUGUAUCUAUCAUUGGAUAUUUGUGUUUUUUCCAUAUCUUGGCUAUUGUAAAUAAUGCUGCAAUGAACAUGGAGGUGUAAAAAUAUCUUGGAAAUUCUGAUUUCAUUUCUUUUAUGUAUAAAUCCAGAAGUAGGAUUGCUGGAUUAUAUGGUGGUUCUAGUUUUAAUCUGGGGUAACAGCUAUACUGUUUUCUGUAGUUGCUACACCAUUCAACAUUCCCACAAACAGAGCUUCCAGUUAUUUGACGUCUGCACUGAUACAUAUCUUUUUUUAUGAUAAUAGUCAUCCCAGCAAGAAUGAGGUGAUGUUUUGUGGUUUUGAUUUGAAUUUCCCCAAUGAUUAGUGCCAUUGAACACUUUUUCAUAUGCCUUUGGCCAUUUGUAUGUUUUCUUUGGAGAAAUGUCUGUUCAAGUCCUUUGCCUGUUUUUAAAUUGUUAAUGUGUUAAUUUUUCUCUGCUGUUGAUUCAUAAGAGAGUCUUAUAUAUUUUAGAUAUUGAUUACUUAUUAGAUAGAUUGUUUGCAAACAUUUUUUCUUAUUCCAUAAGAAGCCUUUUCAUCCUGUUGAUUGUUUCCUUUGCGGUGCAGAAGCUUUCUAGUUUUAUGUAGUCCCACAUUUCUAUUUUUGGUUUUGUUGCCUAUGCUUUUGCUGUCAAAUCCAAGAAAUCACUGUCAAGGCCAAUAUCAAGUUUUAUGUGCAUGCUAAAUACAAAGAAAAUCAUCCAGCAAAUAAUGGGGCAUGAAUUUAAGGUUUUCUUGAAGAUUCAACCUUUUCUUUCUGAAAGUAAAUUGAAUACAGCUGAAAAAACAAAUCAAUACAGUGAUGUACCCAUUAACAAAAGAAGCAGUGAUCAUAUGGCCAGCUCAGGAUGUCCUAGAAGUCAGGAACUUCAGAUUCCAUGUUCUUAAUUCUGUACUAUACUUCCUCUCCUCUCUUCCACAAGGAAAAACAGGCCCUGAGAUUCUCAGUUACUUUGAGAACGUUGUUAUUGUUAUUAUAUGUAUCAUAGAAUUGACCUUAUAAGCAUUUCCAUAAUUAUCCUUUAUCUUAAAAAUCUUUCAAGUCACUCUCUUAUAUUUAGUUAUCACCUUACUUAUGAAUUUAAAGCUUUUGGAGUGUCUGCUAUGGCUCAAAAAAUUAAGAAGCCAACGUGGUUUCCAUGAGGAUGUGAGGUCAAUCCCUGGCCUCACUCAGUGGGUUAAGGAUCCAGUGCUGCCUCAGCUGCUACAUAGAUCAUGGAUAGUUUGGAUCCAUUGUUGCUGUGGCUGCAGCGUUGGCCUGCUGCUGCAGCUCCGAUUCAACCCCUAACCCAGGAACUUCCAUAUGCCACAAGUAUAGCCAUAAAAAGAAAAUAUUUUUUUUUUAAUGUUUUACUCCUACCUCUGUCUUCACUUUCCUGUAAGGAGCUCUAGCCCUGCCAUUUGUGAGCUGUUAUAAAAGGUGUAAAUGUUGUUUUGUUAGGAAAGUUCUUGUUUAUCUAAUAUCUACAAAAUAACAUGUUAACAUAAAAGCAUGGAAGGAAUAUAUUGGCCCAAACAACCUUUGUCAUUUAUUUAUUCAUUCAUGUAGUGCUAUUGUUUUGAAUGCCUAAUGCAAUCCUGGCACUGUUCUAGGCAUAGAAAAUUCAGCAAGGAAUAAAAUAAAGGCCCCAUCCUCUUAGAGUUUACUAGAUAUAGGGUAAGCGUGGAUCCAGUUCUUUGUGUUUUUCGCUUUUUUACAGGAGGCAGUAAACAUUAGAGGAGAGUGGGGCAGGCAAACAGUAAACGGCUGCCAGAGUCCAAACAGGGCAUUGUGCUAGUGUCCAUAAAUGUGCAGGGAGCCCACAUCUCCGCAUUGCACAAGGUGCCCAAACUCCUGAAUUCAGAGCAGUCUGAGAACAUUGUUGAUGAACUCGUUAACUGGUUGUUGUCCCUCUACGUUCUUAUUUGAAAGCUAGUGUGGCAUAGUAGUGGGUUUUGGUGUCCAAAAUUUUGGAUUUGAAAUUCAGUUAUUCUAAAUGCCCUGAGGCAGAUUUUCUCAUGUCAAAAAUGACAACAAUAUAUAACUUUUACAGUUAGGAUAGAGACCUAAAGUACGUGAAACAUAGAGCCCAGUGUCUGGGCCAUAAUAUGUGUAGCAUAAAUGGUAGGUAAUAUAGUGGAGUGUUAACAAUGGUAGAUAAUAACAAUAACAACAAUAUAUUGCUGCCACAACUCACCUCCAUAAUAAGAAUGUUGCCCCUGGUCUUUGGUAUUAUAUGUCUGAUGGAGAUGCAUAUAUAAGCAUUUUUCCAUAGUUACCUUUGCUCUUAAUCUUUUAAGUCAUUUUCUCACAUUCAGCCAUUACCUUACUUAUUAAUUUAAAGCUAUUCCUCCUACCUCUAUCUUUUCUGACUAAUCUCUUGAUCUGAGGGCUUGACAUGAAAUGAAAAAGCUGCAGUGCUUCUUCCAGUCUUCAUUUCUGCAGACUAAACAUGUCUAAGUUGUCUGAUUUUUUUAACCAUAUGAAAUAAUAUGUACGUGCAAAGUAGAGUUAUUGAAUUUUAAAACUUGAGGGGACUUUAAACAAAAGGCCAUACAGCUAGUCAAUUGCUGAAGUUGUUCUAGAACCUAGGUCCCCAGUUUUGUACCACAUGUAAGCAAUGAAAUACAUGUGAUAGUAAGCAGAAAAUAAAAAUAUAACAGAGUGGUUGAGUGAUCAAAAAUCUCUCAUCUAGUGGGCUUUGAUUUGGGGCCAAUUUUUGUCUAUGACCCUCAGAUUCCCUGAAGUUCAUGUUGGUGCAAGAUACUGAUACAUGUCCUGACGAGGACUCACAAGCAUGGUCUUGCCAUAGAUAGAGGACUUCUCCUUGAGGUUAUUUCAGGUACUCUCCCCUGCCCAGAAGGGCUCAAGCAGGCUACAGUGAAACUCAAAGUGCCAUUAUCUCAGAGGAUGGUUAGUCCUACAGUCAUGAGGGCCCAUGGAACAAAUCUGAAUGACCAGGGAGAAAUAUGAAAUGCAUGAUUCUUUAACACAACUUUUUGCAUCCCUAGCAUUUUUUAAUGGAGACAUCAUUUUUUACUCUCAAUUUCUUUGGUACAAGGUAUUGAGUUAUAAUGUCUGUCCUUAUUCAGUGGCCACAGCCUUUCAUGUGAACCUUAGAGCACUAGGAGGUUGGGUGGGGUGGUGGCUCACAGACUGAGUGUACAGGCAAGACUUCUCACCAGGCAAGAAGUCAGGCAAAGUGAAAACGAUUCUCUUGGAGACUGAACAGGCAUUUAUCUUUCCUUUUUCUAAUCUGAUGUGUAUAACUUAUAAACCCAUUACAAACAGGGAGCCUUCCUAGGCACUAUGAGGGGAUAUAAAGAAGCAUUGUUUCUCCUUCAAUUUCAGAAGGCAGUUAAAGCAUAUGCAUAUAAGUAUUGAUACGAAUGACAAUUCAAGUGGUAAAUAAUUGUUGGACAUGAUGUUGAACAAGUUUUCUUUCCCCACAUUAUCAGACAGAACAAUUCAGCCAUAUUGUAUUAGUUAGGAAGGUGUUCUGUUGCAAGUAAAGAGUAUAUGAAUAGCAGCAGCUUAAACUAAAAGAGUUCAUUUUUCUAAUAAACCGAGAUAUCUGAGGUGGGCAACCCUUGGUCUUAGUUCAAUGCUCUGAUGAUGUUAGGGUCAGUUUCUCACAGACACAGAGUAUUAGGGUGUGCCUUUCCAAAGAGAUCAAGAAGGAACUUGCAUGCUUUUAAGAGGAUGCUCUGCCCUUGGGAUGAUGUUGGCAUGACAGUCAAUAGAGGGACGGUGAGAUAGAUCACGUAUGAGGUGAUCACAUAUGUCAUUGCUGAUGGAUGUUUGAUUUCAGCCAAAUAGCCCAAUGUCUCCUGUCUAUAUUAUAGCUGCCCCACCUUCAAACUUGUGCUUGAGGCUGGAAAAAGAUGAAAGGAGAAAAAGAUCUGUGCCAACCCAAUCUUUGAAAACAUAGACUUUCUCUUUGGGACCCCUGGCUGAACCUGGAUCAUUUAGAAAGUUUUCUAAAGAAGACUUGGAAACAAGAAUGUCAUAACUGGCCUAAAUCAAUCAUAAGUCAUCACUUGGUCUCAGAACAUUGCUGUUCUGAACAAAUGUGAGCAUCUGCUAUCAACGAAUAAAAGUAGUUUCUUUACAGCCUUUAUAAAUGUGUGUCACACUCUUGUGUGUCCUUCUAGGUCAUUUGCUGUAAGUAGUUAAGGAGGUACCCCAUAAACUUAUCAUCAAUUGCUUAAGAGUUUUUUUUCUCUUCCAAUUAACUAAUAGCUCCUGGAGGGCAGGAACUGUGUCUUACUUGCUCUUUUAUUGUAAGAUUUUACCACAAGGCCUAAAACUUAAAUGUUGCUUAACAUUCUUUUGAAUUGCAUUAAAUUAAGGGCCUUGUACAGAACCUGUUGAAUUUAGAGUUAUAGGAAUACAGCAUAUCGUAGUUUAGUGUUAUGAGUGACCACAUUAAGUUUGAGGUAGAAAAAAGGGUUUAAAGUCUAUCUUGAGGAAUGGAUAAGGCCCAUGUCUGAUUUAGUUGUAUGUAGCAUCCUUGACAUCCCAGACAGUAUAUUUCAGUAAUGUUUCUUGAACUGGAGUGAAUUUGAGUAGCGGGCGAGUCCAGGGAAGGAAACUUUACAAAAAACGUUUGUAGGUAGAAACACAAGCAGCAUUUCUUGUUCCUACUCUUCACUUUCUCUGCCCCUCCUCACCUUUGAGCCCACAGUCCCAAGUAUUAUCUGAUGUUUAUCCCUUAGGUUCUCUGAGGCGUUGGAUCUUAGUGGAAUGGAUUGUUGAUUCUUUGGGCUGAAAACAGGACUAUUUUCCACUUGCUUCUACUCAGAGGUCUGGUACACACCUAAUAUUAAUUUGAGGCAUACAGAUGGCAGAGCUGGCAAAUAUAAGAGCAGUUACUUUUAGACAAACUGAGCUGAACUGUAGUCCUUUGCUAAGAAUGCCUGUUAUCCAGAGGCUGAAUAGAGCUCUGGUAAGUCUUUAAGAAGACUCUCCACUCCCAGCAUGUGAUGCCAUGUUGGUCUCUGUUUUAUCUCACUAGGGUCAUGUCAGCCAGGUGAAAUUUACAGGGGCAUUCAUAAGGAGCUGUAGACCACAUGGCAGACACAUUGCUGGUAGUUACCUGUUUAUUUGGAACCAAGUAGCAAAAAAGUCCUAUUGGGUUAUUUUGCUUUGACUUGGGUUUGAUCGCUGGCCUUGCUUAGUGGGUUAAGGAUCCGAUGUUGC
RNAcentral lists this long non-coding RNA (6110 nucleotides) under Sus scrofa (pig). Its description in RNAcentral is "lncRNA (ENSSSCG00000044076.1)". The record is from RNAcentral. Lineage: Eukaryota; Metazoa; Chordata; Mammalia; Artiodactyla; Suidae.